Molecule: long non-coding RNA, 536 nt
Filed under: Vitis vinifera (wine grape)
Lineage: Eukaryota; Viridiplantae; Streptophyta; Magnoliopsida; Vitales; Vitaceae
Description: long non-coding RNA (VVIN_LNC004231)
Source: RNAcentral
GGGUUGCAGUUCUUACCUUAGCCGCCUCAUCCGUCAAUGCGAUAGCCUCAAAGUAUCGCUCCAUAUGCCAUAAGAAGUUAUCCAACUCCUUGGCAUCCCGAUUGCCACUAAACCUAUGUGGCUUCGGCACCUCCACCCUAGAUGCCUCCUGUGUGGCCAUGACCCGUGCCGACACAGCAGCCUUGUAGAUGGCUAACUCCUGCCUAACCUCCUGGUCUCAGGACUCCAUUCGAGUGGCCAAGGCCUCUAUCCUUGACUCCAUGCUAGCAAGCAUGCUCAAGACCUUUCCUUGGAAGGACACAAACUCCUCGUGCGACACAGGCUGAACCUGUGAGACUAGCACCCUCUCACGAAGGUCUUGGAUCUGCUCCCUUAGAUCCUCUAAGCCCUUCUCCAUGCCUUGCUCGAUCAAGUCCAACCCCUCCCGAGUGUCCGCCAUGGCUAGCUCCGCCUUGGCUAACCUUGCCUCCAUGUUGGCAACGGCAUCACGAGAUUUAUCCUUCUUGCCCCUGCCCUGUGCAGUAGGCUCGGUCUCC